This 1298-nucleotide unclassified non-coding RNA is filed under the name Hevea brasiliensis (rubber tree). Lineage: Eukaryota; Viridiplantae; Streptophyta; Magnoliopsida; Malpighiales; Euphorbiaceae. The record is from RNAcentral.
AAUUAGUGCCUCCCGACGGCGAUCACGGCGGAGAAUGCGGCGGCGAAGAGCAACUGUUGUUGAUGGAGACGAACAAUGUCGACCGGUCAUGGAGGUUGAACUUCGAUGAACUACGGUUAUCGUCUGAGAAUAAAGAGAAACCUCUUCCUCAUGGAUUACAUGAUUGUCUCGGUGUAUUGUGUCAAGAAGACAACAUUGCCGUGUACUACCAGCAACAGGUGGAAAUGCUCGAGGGCUUCAAUGAAAUGGAUGCCUUGGCUGAUCGUGGUUUUGUACCUGGGAUGUCAAAGGAAGAGAGGGAAAAAUUGGCCAGAAGUGAAACAACUGCCAUUAGGAUAUCAAAUAUUGCAAACAUGGUUCUCUUUGCCGCUAAAGUAUAUGCAUCUGUCAAGAGUGGUUCAUUGGCCAUCAUAGCAUCCACGUUGGAUUCACUGCUUGAUCUUCUCUCUGGUUUCAUUUUAUGGUUUACAGCUUUCUCUAUGCAGACACCAAACCCGUAUCAAUAUCCUAUCGGGAAGAAACGUAUGCAGCCUUUGGGAAUCCUUGUAUUUGCUUCUGUCAUGGCGACUUUGGGACUGCAGAUAAUUCUGGAGUCUAUGCGUACACUAAUAUCCGAUGAGUCUAAUUUCAGCCUUACCAAGGAGCAAGAGAGAUGGGUUAUUGGGAUUAUGGUUUUUGUGACUUUAGUGAAACUAGUUUUGGUGUUGUAUUGCCGGUCUUUCACCAAUGAGAUUGUUAAAGCAUAUGCCCAGGAUCAUUUCUUCGAUGUUAUCACAAACGUUAUUGGACUAGUCGCGGCAUUGCUUGCUAACUACUUCAGUGGCUGGAUAGACCCUGUUGGAGCUAUGAUUCUCGCGUUGUAUACCAUUCGAACAUGGUCAAUGACCGUGUUAGAGAACGUGAACUCUCUUGUCGGUAAGGCAGCUGCACCAGAAUAUCUGCAGAAGCUGACUUACCUCUGCUGGAACCAUCACAAAGCCAUAAAGCAUAUAGAUACAGUGAGAGCCUAUACAUUUGGUUCUCAUUACUUUGUCGAAGUUGAUAUCGUCCUACCUGCAGACAUGCCCUUACAAGAGGCACAUGAUAUCGGUGAGUCAUUGCAGGAGAAGCUCGAAUUAUUGCCAGAGAUCGAACGUGCCUUUGUUCAUCUCGACUAUGAAUACAGCCAUAAACCUGAACAUGCACAAGCAUACCUAUAAUCAAAUGGAUAUUGGUAACAUCUUCUCUACCUAAUAUUAUAUACCACAAGUUAACUUUGUAAUGCUGUCAAUCUGGUAAUUGCUCUUAAAAGAAAAGUU